CUUAACACAUGCAAGUCGAACGGGAUGCUUAGGCAUCUAGUGGCGGACGGGUGAGUAACGCGUGAGAAUCUGGCUCCAGGUCGGGGAUAACAGUUGGAAACGACUGCUAAUACCGGAUGUGCCGAGAGGUGAAAGAUUUAUUGCCUGGAGAUGAGCUCGCGUCUGAUUAGCUAGUUGGUGGUGUAAGGGACCACCAAGGCGUCGAUCAGUAGCUGGUCUGAGAGGAUGAUCAGCCACACUGGGACUGAGACACGGCCCAGACUCCUACGGGAGGCAGCAGUGGGGAAUUUUCCGCAAUGGGCGAAAGCCUGACGGAGCAAUACCGCGUGAGGGAGGAAGGCUCUUGGGUCGUAAACCUCUUUUCUCAAGGAAGAAGAAAGUGACGGUACUUGAGGAAUAAGCAUCGGCUAACUCCGUGCCAGCAGCCGCGGUAAUACGGAGGAUGCAAGCGUUAUCCGGAAUGAUUGGGCGUAAAGGGUCUGCAGGUGGAACUGAAAGUCUGCUGUUAAAGAGUUUGGCUUAACCAAAUAAAAGCGGUGGAAACUACAGAACUAGAGUGCGGUAGGGGCAAAAGGAAUUCCUGGUGUAGCGGUGAAAUGCGUAGAUAUCAGGAAGAACACCGGUGGCGAAAGCGUUUUGCUAGACCGUAACUGACACUGAGGGACGAAAGCUAGGGAAGCGAAUGGGAUUAGAUACCCCAGUAGUCCUAGCCGUAAACGAUGGAUACUAGGCGUGGCUUGUAUCGACCCGAGCCGUGCCGGAGCUAACGCGUUAAGUAUCCCGCCUGGGGAGUACGCACGCAAGUGUGAAACUCAAAGGAAUUGACGGGGGCCCGCACAAGCGGUGGAGUAUGUGGUUUAAUUCGAUGCAACGCGAAGAACCUUACCAAGACUUGACAUCCUGCGAAUCCUGGUGAAAGCUGGGAGUGCCUUAGGGAGCGCAGAGACAGGUGGUGCAUGGCUGUCGUCAGCUCGUGUCGUGAGAUGUUGGGUUAAGUCCCGCAACGAGCGCAACCCUCGUUUUUAGUUGCCAGCAUUAAGUUGGGCACUCUAGAGAGACUGCCGGUGACAAACCGGAGGAAGGUGAGGAUGACGUCAAGUCAGCAUGCCCCUUACGUCUUGGGCUACACACGUACUACAAUGCUACGGACAGAGGGCAGCGAGCCAGGGAUGGCAAGCGAAUCCAGAAACCGUAGCUCAGUUCAGAUCGAAGGCUGCAACUCGCCUUCGUGAAGGAGGAAUCGCUAGUAAUUGCAGGUCAGCAUACUGCAGUGAAUUCGUUCCCGGGCCUUGUACACACCGCCCGUCACACCAUGGAAGUUGGUCACGCCCGAAGUCAUUACCCCAACCGAAAGGAGGGGGAUGCCUUAAAGUAGACUGGUGACUUGGGUGAAAGUCUUAACAAGGUA
RNAcentral lists this ribosomal RNA (1408 nucleotides) under Cylindrospermopsis raciborskii. Its description in RNAcentral is "16S ribosomal RNA". It matches the Rfam family "Bacterial small subunit ribosomal RNA". The record is from RNAcentral. Lineage: Bacteria; Bacillati; Cyanobacteriota; Cyanophyceae; Nostocales; Aphanizomenonaceae.